GGUUAAGCGACUAAGCGUACACGGUGGAUGCCCUGGCAGUCAGAGGCGAUGAAGGACGUGCUAAUCUGCGAUAAGCGUCGGUAAGGUGAUAUGAACCGUUAUAACCGGCGAUUUCCGAAUGGGGAAACCCAGUGUGUUUCGACACACUAUCAUUAACUGAAUCCAUAGG
RNAcentral lists this ribosomal RNA (169 nucleotides) under Escherichia coli. RNAcentral describes it as "partial 23S ribosomal RNA". It matches the Rfam family "Bacterial large subunit ribosomal RNA", at positions 1 to 170 of the family's 2925-position model. RNAcentral also lists the same sequence under 1 other name. Lineage: Bacteria; Pseudomonadati; Pseudomonadota; Gammaproteobacteria; Enterobacterales; Enterobacteriaceae. The record is from RNAcentral.